Onychostoma macrolepis is the source of this 1831-nucleotide RNA transcript. It is a transcript of the gene named centrosomal protein 44, with no coding region annotated. Lineage: Eukaryota; Metazoa; Chordata; Actinopteri; Cypriniformes; Cyprinidae. The transcript is spliced from 12 exons. The record is from RefSeq and is a predicted model, not a curated record.
AAUAAAUCAAAUAAAAUAUAAAAUAAGGACACUGAAUGAACGAAGUAACGAUUAAAUCAAUCAAAUAAACACAUAAAUCACAAUUAUUAAAUGCGUGAAGUAGUGAAAUAAAUACAUUAGUAAAUAAAUCAUUUCGUGAAAUUGCAUUACCAAAUUUGUAAACGUGUUUUACGUAUAUUUAAAAGAAAUAAUCGAAGACAUGAAUGUGUAGAAGUGAAACACUGGGUUGAGCCGUCGUCUCCGGUGCAUAGAAACCAUUCACAACAAACCCGAAUAUUUCAGCGGCAAAAACAAAAGGGAGGAAUUAGCAAUAACUCUGGAUUACUAUAAUUUUCAACCAUCGAGAUGACCACUGGUGAUCUUAAAGGAUGUCUGAGAAAGCUGGAAGCGUCUCUCCGUUCUCUGAAGUAUCCCAGAGAAGUGGACUAUCAAAGAUUGGCUGUGGGAGAUCCAUCAGCUUGUCUUCCUAUUGUGAGCUUUGCCUUCACAGCCUUUUCCCCCUCACUCACAGAGCACCUGGUUGAUUAUGGUGUGGAACUAACUGGAUUGAAUGAUUUACGAUUUAUUGAGAAUGUUUAUAAGGUCUUGCGGGAUGUUUUCAGCUAUAAGCCACUGUUAACCAAACAGCAGUUUCUUCAGUAUGGCUUUGCUGAGAGGAAACUCAUCAUUCUCUGCGAUAUCAUUGGCCUUGUUCUCAACAAACACAAAGAACUCACUAAAAGCAAGCAUAUUAGUAAGCCAAAAAGAAGGCCUCAGUUUAAGAGCUGCACUAAAAAUGAGAUCUCUUCUGCUGAGAGUAACUCACUGGCAGUACCUCAGAAGCAGCCACUGGUAGAAAGGCAUCUUGGCAGCAGCUUAGCACCAGCUCCUCAGAAGCUCAUCAGAUGCUCCUCAGAAGAGCAGCCACAGCAGGAUGAGGAAACGGAAAAGAGUUUUGAGGACUCAUCUCAAACUGCAGAUUCAAUUGAGUGUGUUUUAGAGAGCCGGCUGAGGGAUGUCGAAGCAAGUCUUCUGGAGAGUGUUGGCAGACUGGAUCAGCGAUUGGCCCUUAUGGAACACAGGAUACAUGCUCUGGAGAAAAGCUUGGCUGGCAAGAUUAUCAUUGAGAGCAACCAGUGGGUGAACUUGGAGAGUCGCGUGCUGCUGCUGGAGACCAGGCAGGCAUUGACCUCAGCACAGGGUCUAACUUCAGGAGAUGGUGUCUUCAGCACAGACAAUGGUAGAUUCAGUGUGGACACAGCAUCUGCGAGUGGCAUUUCUACUGUGAUUCAUCUACCAUCUGACAUCAGUGAUAAUGGACACACUCCAGCCAGUUUUCCUCCGACAGCUCCCCAGACAGUAUGGCAGGAGGACAAGCAAAGAAAGGAAACAGAGACAAGAAGAGAGAAGAGAAAGGGAAAGUAAGGAAGAUCCCAUUUUAACUGAACAGCUGGCCCAUUUUACCUGAAUGUUGUGCCGUGGCUCAAGAAGAUUGCUUCAUACUGUGUCAAAAUUUGCUCCCAGUGAGAACUGAACUAGGAACCUCUAUUAACUGGACGGAUGACGGACAAGGGAGUGAGACAUCCCAGAGACUGUGCAGGCUGGCCUGACAUCUUGUUUGCCAUUUAAUCUUCGGGGAAGGGAUGUCUCUAUCACAGCUUUUAGCCUUUCUUUGUUCCAAAUACUCAAGUCUAUUUUUGUUUAACCUCAGUUUUGAUAGAUUUUGUCAAGGUCAGAUUUGGAUUUGGAAACUAAAAAGGCCUUUCAGAUAUUUCAUUCAGACCAGGGUCAACCUGACCCCAAAAAACUGAGAUUCUUGAAAAAAAUAAAUAAAUAAAAAUAGUGGCUCACA